AGUCACGCAGUGAGCACAGAGCAAACUAUUCUUUCGCCUUUUACUAAAGAAUACCGUGUGAUUGUUGUAGAUAGUGGCAUACGCCUAUUUUUGGAGGGCUCUUUCUUUUGAAAGUGC
This is a small nuclear RNA of Hibiscus syriacus, 117 nucleotides long. RefSeq annotates it as U5 spliceosomal RNA. The record is from RefSeq and is a predicted model, not a curated record. NCBI's taxonomy places the organism in Eukaryota, Viridiplantae, Streptophyta, Magnoliopsida, Malvales, Malvaceae. The transcript has a single exon.